Molecule: RNA transcript, 1220 nt
Organism: Homo sapiens (human)
Lineage: Eukaryota; Metazoa; Chordata; Mammalia; Primates; Hominidae
Gene: CDK2AP2
Gene name: cyclin dependent kinase 2 associated protein 2
Exons: 3
Source: RefSeq, marked reviewed
AAUCAGAGCGCGGCUGAGCGGCCCCGCAGCCAACCCCCGAGGAGCGGCCGGCUGGCGUCCGCCGCGCCCAGGAGUUGGGGAUGUCCUACAAACCCAUCGCCCCUGCUCCCAGCAGCACCCCUGGCUCCAGCACCCCUGGGCCGGGCACCCCGGUCCCUACAGGUGAGGAUCCAGCUCCACCCCUGCUCGCCUGCCGGGCGGUCGAGGUCUCGAAGAGAAGACGGCCUGAGUUCUGCAAUACUGGGCCUGCCGCCUACCCUCGCUGAGCCUCAGUUUGCUGGCCUGUGAAGUGGGCGUGGUCACGUAAGGGCUUGUAGGUGGAGCGCAGUGGGAGGGAUUUGUCCCUGAAGUUGAUCAGCAUGGAAUGAAGCAUCCUUUGGAGGGAAUCGGGCGAACCCGGUCCUGGGCUUGGAAAAGCUGGGAGGCGGCGUCCCUGCCCCGCGCUGACCUCUUACUCGCGCCUGUUGCUGCAGGAAGCGUCCCGUCGCCGUCGGGCUCAGUGCCAGGAGCCGGCGCUCCUUUCAGACCGCUGUUUAACGACUUUGGACCGCCUUCCAUGGGCUACGUGCAGGCGAUGAAGCCACCCGGCGCCCAGGGCUCCCAGAGCACCUACACGGACCUGCUGUCAGUCAUAGAGGAGAUGGGCAAAGAGAUCCGGCCUACCUAUGCUGGCAGCAAGAGCGCCAUGGAGCGCCUGAAGAGAGGUAUCAUCCAUGCCCGGGCCCUAGUCAGAGAGUGCCUGGCAGAGACAGAGCGGAACGCCCGCACGUAACAGGAAGCGCCUCGGCCUCAGCGUCUGGACCUAUCCGGCCACUGCAGAGCACCCGCUUCUCCCUGGCCUUCAUCCCGAGUUGCACUAACCAUCCUGGGCUUCCUGUCCUGUGUCCCUUGGUGGGUCCCCUCCAGGAACCAAGGAGUGGCCCUCCAGGUGGCAGCACUAAGGACACCCCCCCACAACAAGAGUUAGCAGCGAGGUCCCCAUGAGUCCCACCCAUGACCUGCCGACAGUGUUGCCCACCGGAACUUUUGUGGCCCCUACCGCUCAGCCCUUCCCAGCACUUCUCCCACUUUGUCCCGAGCCUCCUUCUCCCCCAGCAGGGGCACAGGCCUGGCACCUCCCUGCCUUGUGUCCUGAGCCAUAGUGACUCUUUUAUCUGUGUGUCUUUUGCUAAAUAUGCCCUUUUUAUAUUAAUAAAAGAUGAUUUGGAGUUGUGCUCUCA